Molecule: small nucleolar RNA, 138 nt
Organism: Rattus norvegicus (Norway rat)
Lineage: Eukaryota; Metazoa; Chordata; Mammalia; Rodentia; Muridae
Product: small nucleolar RNA SNORA70
Source: Ensembl
GUAUUUUAAGUGUAGCUGACCAGGUUCCUUUCCUCAUUGGGAGCCUGGUUAGUAAUCGCUACAAACAAGUCUCUGGGCAUUGUGUAUGUAGCCAGAUGCUCGUACUGGCAACCAUGAGGCAGAUCCAGGGAGACAGUU